ACAUACGACCAUAGGGUGUGGAAAACAGGGCUUCCCGUCCGCUCAGCCGUACUUAAGCCACACGCCGGCCGGUUAGUAGUUGGGUGGGUGACCACCAGCGAAUCCCGGCUGUUGUAUGNN
Molecule: ribosomal RNA, 120 nt
Filed under: Aspergillus ruber CBS 135680
Lineage: Eukaryota; Fungi; Ascomycota; Eurotiomycetes; Eurotiales; Aspergillaceae
Source: RNAcentral